AUCUAAGUAGUUUAUUUAAAAUAUUAAUUUGUGGUUUUAAAGAAGCAAUAUAUUGUCUUAGAUA
Molecule: transfer RNA, 64 nt
Filed under: Pachybrachis sp. ReAss_150
Lineage: Eukaryota; Metazoa; Arthropoda; Insecta; Coleoptera; Chrysomelidae
Description: tRNA-His
Source: RNAcentral